GUUUAUGGCCACACCAUCCUGAACACACCCGAUCUCACCUGAUUUCAGAAGCUAAGCAGGGUGGGGCCUGGUUAGUACUUGGAUGGGAGAACUAAAAGGGAAUAUAGUUUGUAUAGCAU
RNAcentral lists this ribosomal RNA (119 nucleotides) under Aotus nancymaae (Ma's night monkey). Lineage: Eukaryota; Metazoa; Chordata; Mammalia; Primates; Aotidae. The record is from RNAcentral.